This 88-nucleotide transfer RNA is filed under the name Propionibacteriaceae bacterium. RNAcentral's name for it is "tRNA-Ser". It matches the Rfam family "tRNA". Rfam says of the family: Transfer RNA (tRNA) molecules are approximately 80 nucleotides in length. Their secondary structure includes four short double-helical elements and three loops (D, anti-codon, and T loops). The record is from RNAcentral. Lineage: Bacteria; Bacillati; Actinomycetota; Actinomycetes; Propionibacteriales; Propionibacteriaceae.
GGCGAGAUCGCAUAGUGGUCUAGUGCAGCCGCCUUGAAAGCGGCCAGGUGUCAAAGCCUCCAGGGUUCGAAUCCCUGUCUCGCCGCCA